UGGGCGUGUCACCCGCUGCUGAACACAUAGGCAGUGUGGAGGGAGCGCGGGGAAGUGAAACAUCUCAGUACCCGCAGGAAGAGAAAACAACCGUGAUUCCGGGAGUAGUGGCGAGCGAAACCGGAUGAGGCAAACCGUAUGCGUGUGAGACCCGGCAGGGGUUGCGUAUACGGGGUUGUGGGAUCUCUCUUUCACGGUCUGCCGGCCGUGAGACGAGUCAGAAACCGUUGAUGUAGGCGAAGGACA
Molecule: non-coding RNA, 246 nt
Filed under: Streptomyces afghaniensis 772
Lineage: Bacteria; Bacillati; Actinomycetota; Actinomycetes; Kitasatosporales; Streptomycetaceae
Description: Bacterial large subunit ribosomal RNA
Rfam family: Bacterial large subunit ribosomal RNA
Source: Rfam by way of RNAcentral